CCUACGGGAGGCUGCAGUAAGGAAUAUUGGUCAAUGGAGGAAACUCUGAACCAGCCAUCCCGCGUGAAGGAUGAAGGGGCUCUGCCUUGUAAACUUCUUUUGUCUGGGGCGAAACAGCUCGAUUUAUCGAGAACUGACGGUACCAGAAGAAUAAGCACCGGCUAACUCCGUGCCAGCAGCCGCGGUACUCCGGAGGGUGCAGGCGUUAUCCGGAUUCACUGGGGUGUAGGGGGGCGUGGACGGCAUAGGUGAAAGGCGGUGGCUUAACCAUGGAAUUGCCAUUGAUACUGCAGAGCUUGAAUGAGGUUGAGGUUGGCGGAAUGUGACAUGUAGCGGUGAAAUGCUUAGAUAUGUCAUGGAACACCGAUUGCGAAGGCAGCUGACUGGACCUAUAUUGACGCUGAGGCACGAAAGCGUGGGGAGCGAACAGGAUUAGAUACCCCAGUAGUC
Molecule: ribosomal RNA, 450 nt
Filed under: uncultured bacterium
Lineage: Bacteria
Description: partial 16S ribosomal RNA
Rfam family: Bacterial small subunit ribosomal RNA
Source: RNAcentral